Molecule: unclassified non-coding RNA, 253 nt
Filed under: uncultured Parcubacteria group bacterium
Lineage: Bacteria
Description: contains 16S-23S intergenic spacer region
Rfam family: Bacterial small subunit ribosomal RNA
Source: RNAcentral
UACGUGAGCCCCGAGCGUUGUCCGGAAUCACUGGGCGUAAAGCGUCUGCAGGCGGUUAUGUUAGUCGUGUGUUAAAUAUACGGGCUCAACCCGUAUGCCGCGCACGAAACGGCAUGACUAGAGGGUGUGAGAGGUGAGUGGAACUUACGGUGUAGGGGUGGAAUCCGUUGAUAUCGUAGGGAACACCAAAGGCGAAGGCAGCUCACUGGCACAACCCUGACGCUCAGAGACGAAAGUGUGGGUAGCGAAUGGG